Molecule: ribosomal RNA, 513 nt
Filed under: uncultured bacterium
Lineage: Bacteria
Description: partial 16S ribosomal RNA
Rfam family: Bacterial small subunit ribosomal RNA
Source: RNAcentral
AACGAACGCUGGCGGCGUGCCUAACGCAUGCAAGUCGAGCGCGAAAAGGGCAACCUGAGUAGAGCGGCGCACGGGUGCGUAACACGUGGGUAAUCUGCCUUAGAGUCGAGGAUAACCUUCCGAAAGGUUGGCUAAUACUCGGUAAGCUUACGGUGUCUUCGGACGCUGUGGGAAAAGUAGGCCUCUGUUUACAAGCUUACGCUCUGAGAUGAGCCCGCGGCCCAUCGGCUAGUUGGCGGUGUAACGGACCACCAAGGCAACGACGGGUAGCUGGUCUGAGAGGACGAUCAGCCACACUGGAGCUGAGACACGGUCCAGACUCCUACGGGAGGCAGCAGUGGGGAAUUUUCCACAAUGGGCGAAAGCCUGAUGGAGCAACGCAGCGUGUGUGAUGAAGGUUUUCGGAUCGUAAAGCACUUUCGACCGGGACGAAAAACCUCUGGCUAACAUCCAGGGGCCUGACGGUACCGGGAGAAGAAGCACCGGCUAACUCUGUGCCAGCCGCCGCAGUAA